This 253-nucleotide ribosomal RNA is filed under the name uncultured bacterium. RNAcentral's name for it is "partial 16S ribosomal RNA". It matches the Rfam family "Bacterial small subunit ribosomal RNA", at positions 524 to 776 of the family's 1533-position model. The record is from RNAcentral.
UACGUAGGGUGCUAGCGUUGCUCGGAAUCACUGGGCGUAAAGCGCACGUAGGCGGAUUGUUAAGUCAGGGGUGAAAUCCUGGAGCUCAACUCCAGAACUGCCUUUGAUACUGGCAAUCUCGAGUCCGGGAGAGGUGAGUGGAACUGCGAGUGUAGAGGUGAAAUUCGUAGAUAUUCGCAAGAACACCAGUGGCGAAGGCGGCUCACUGGCCCGGUACUGACGCUGAGGUGCGAAAGCGUGGGGAGCAAACAGG